RNAcentral lists this ribosomal RNA (487 nucleotides) under Plantibacter sp. AN06. RNAcentral describes it as "bacterial SSU rRNA". It matches the Rfam family "Bacterial small subunit ribosomal RNA", at positions 54 to 554 of the family's 1533-position model. Lineage: Bacteria; Bacillati; Actinomycetota; Actinomycetes; Micrococcales; Microbacteriaceae. The record is from RNAcentral.
CAUGCAAGUCGAACGAUGAAGCCCAGCUUGCUGGGUGGAUUAGUGGCGAACGGGUGAGUAACACGUGAGUAACCUGCCCUUGACUCUGGGAUAAGCGUUGGAAACGACGUCUAAUACCGGAUACGAGCUUCCACCGCAUGGUGAGUUGCUGGAAAGAAUUUUGGUCAAGGAUGGACUCGCGGCCUAUCAGCUUGUUGGUGAGGUAAUGGCUCACCAAGGCGACGACGGGUAGCCGGCCUGAGAGGGUGACCGGCCACACUGGGACUGAGACACGGCCCAGACUCCUACGGGAGGCAGCAGUGGGGAAUAUUGCACAAUGGGCGAAAGCCUGAUGCAGCAACGCCGCGUGAGGGACGACGGCCUUCGGGUUGUAAACCUCUUUUAGCAGGGAAGAAGCGAAAGUGACGGUACCUGCAGAAAAAGCACCGGCUAACUACRUGCCAGCAGCCGCGGUAAUACGUAGGGUGCAAGCGUUGUCCGGAAUUAU